UACGGGGGGGGCAAGCGUUGUUCGGAAUUACUGGGCGUAAAGGGCUCGUAGGCGGCCAACUAAGUCGGAUGUGAAAUCCCUCAGCUUAACUGGGGAACUGCGUGUGAUACUGGAUGGCUUGGAUUUGGGAGAGGGAUGCGGAAUUCCAGGUGUAGCGGUGAAAUGCGUAGAUAUCUGGAGGAACACCGGUGGCGAAGGCGGCAUCCUGGACCAAUAUUGACGCUGAGGAGCGAAAGCCAGGGGAGCAAACGGG
This 253-nucleotide ribosomal RNA is filed under the name uncultured bacterium. RNAcentral's name for it is "partial 16S ribosomal RNA". It matches the Rfam family "Bacterial small subunit ribosomal RNA", at positions 524 to 776 of the family's 1533-position model. The record is from RNAcentral.